GUGAGGAAUAUUGCGCAAUGGAGGCAACUCUGACGCAGCCAUGCCGCGUGCAGGAAGAAGGCGCUACGCGUUGUAAACUGCUUUUAACCGGGAAGAAACCCCAGGACGUGUCCUGGGUUGACGGUACCGGAGGAAUAAGCACCGGCUAACUUCGUGCCAGCAGCCGCGGUAAUACGACGGGUGCAAGCGUUAUCCGGAUUCAUUGGGUUUAAAGGGUGCGUAGGCGGAGCGUUAAGUCAGUGGUGAAAUCCUGCAGCUUAACUGUAGACUUGCCAUUGAUACUGGCGCUCUUGAGUGCGCUUGAAGUGGGCGGAAUGUGCCGUGUAGCGGUGAAAUGCUUAGAUAUGGCACAGAACACCAAUUGCGAAGGCAGCUCACUAAGGCGAUACUGACGCUGAGGCACGAAAGCGUGGGGAUCGAACAGGAUUAGAUACCCUAGUAGUCC
This 445-nucleotide ribosomal RNA is filed under the name uncultured bacterium. Its description in RNAcentral is "partial 16S ribosomal RNA". It matches the Rfam family "Bacterial small subunit ribosomal RNA", at positions 354 to 796 of the family's 1533-position model. The record is from RNAcentral.